UGAGACAGUGAAAAUACAUGUGGUAUGUUGUAUCUGAACAGGUUAGCUUACGAGCUAAAGUUACUUAGCACAGAUGAAAAUCAAAACAAAGACGUUUAUCAAACUGUUAAAGCACACAAACCAUCGUCAUGUGAGAAAUCCGACGCUAUGACUCUCCACAAGUCGUCCUUCAGGUCGUUAUCUUUGUAAUAUUUGUGUUUUUUAUCAAAAAUCACUCUGUUCUCCGACACGUAAACAAUCAGCCGGUCGGCCAUGUUGGAUAUACCGGUGAAUCUGACGUCGCAACAACACGAAAUCUGAUUGGUCAGAAGUGGACACACAGUAUGCGAAACUUUAGAAAAUUCGACCGUGAAAUGAAAAAAAA
RNAcentral lists this long non-coding RNA (364 nucleotides) under Xyrichtys novacula (pearly razorfish). Lineage: Eukaryota; Metazoa; Chordata; Actinopteri; Labriformes; Labridae. The record is from RNAcentral.